ACGAUAACGGCGUCGAGCGGCGGACGGGUGAGUAAUGCCUAGGAAAUUGCCCUGAUGUGGGGGAUAACCAUUGGAAACGAUGGCUAAUACCGCAUGAUGCCUACGGGCCAAAGAGGGGGACCUUCGGGCCUCUCGCGUCAGGAUAUGCCUAGGUGGGAUUAGCUAGUUGGUGAGGUAAGGGCUCACCAAGGCGACGAUCCCUAGCUGGUCUGAGAGGAUGAUCAGCCACACUGGAACUGAGACACGGUCCAGACUCCUACGGGAGGCAGCAGUGGGGAAUAUUGCACAAUGGGCGCAAGCCUGAUGCAGCCAUGCCGCGUGUGUGAAGAAGGCCUUCGGGUUGUAAAGCACUUUCAGUCGUGAGGAAGGUAGUGUAGUUAAUAGCUGCAUUAUUUGACGUUAGCGACAGAAGAAGCACCGGCUAACUCCGUGCCAGCAGCCGCGGUAAUACGGAGGGUGCGAGCGUUAAUCGGAAUUACUGGGCGUAAAGCGCAUGCAGGUGGUUUGUUAAGUCAGAUGUGAAAGCCCGGGGCUCAACCUCGGAAUUGCAUUUGAAACUGGCAGACUAGAGUACUGUAGAGGGGGGUAGAAUUUCAGGUGUAGCGGUGAAAUGCGUAGAGAUCUGAAGGAAUACCGGUGGCGAAGGCGGCCCCCUGGACAGAUACUGACACUCAGAUGCGAAAGCGUGGGGAGCAAACAGGAUUAGAUACCCUGGUAGUCCACGCCGUAAACGAUGUCUACUUGGAGGUUGUGGCCUUGAGCCGUGGCUUUCGGAGCUAACGCGUUAAGUAGACCGCCUGGGGAGUACGGUCGCAAGAUUAAAACUCAAAUGAAUUGACGGGGGCCCGCACAAGCGGUGGAGCAUGUGGUUUAAU
Molecule: ribosomal RNA, 875 nt
Filed under: Vibrio parahaemolyticus
Lineage: Bacteria; Pseudomonadati; Pseudomonadota; Gammaproteobacteria; Vibrionales; Vibrionaceae
Description: bacterial SSU rRNA
Rfam family: Bacterial small subunit ribosomal RNA
Source: RNAcentral